This 901-nucleotide ribosomal RNA is filed under the name uncultured Mesoplasma sp. Its description in RNAcentral is "bacterial SSU rRNA". It matches the Rfam family "Bacterial small subunit ribosomal RNA", at positions 537 to 1449 of the family's 1533-position model. Lineage: Bacteria; Bacillati; Mycoplasmatota; Mollicutes; Entomoplasmatales; Entomoplasmataceae. The record is from RNAcentral.
AGCGUUAUCCGGAUUUAUUGGGCGUACAGGGUGCGUAGGCGGUUGUGUAAGUUUGAGGUUAAAGCCCGGAGCUCAACUCCGGUUCGCCUUGAAAACUACAUAACUAGAAUGCAAGAGAGGUAAAUGGAAUUCCAUGUGUAGCGGUAAAAUGCGUAGAUAUAUGGAAGAACACCUGUGGCGAAAGCGGUUUACCAGCUUGUUAUUGACGCUGAGGCACGAAAGCGUGGGGAGCAAAUAGGAUUAGAUACCCUAGUAGUCCACGCCGUAAACGUUGAGUACUAGGUGUCGGGAAUUAUCUCGGCGCCGCAGCUAACGCAUUAAGUACUCCGCCUGAGUAGUAUGCACGCAAGUGUGAAACUCAAAGGAAUUGACGGGGACCCGCACAAGUGGUGGAGCAUGUGGUUUAAUUCGAAGCAACACGAAGAACCUUACCAGGGCUUGACAUCCAGUGCAAAGGCAUAGAGAUAUGCUGGAGGCUAACAUUGAGACAGGUGGUGCAUGGUUGUCGUCAGUUCGUGCCGUGAGGUGUUUGGUUAAGUCCAGCAACGAACGCAACCCUUGUCAUUAGUUACUAACAUUAAGUUGAGGACUCUAAUGAGACUGCUAGUGUAAGCUAGAGGAAGGUGGGGAUGACGUCAAAUCAUCAUGCCCCUUAUGUCCUGGGCUACACACGUGCUACAAUGGCUGAUACAAAGAGUCGCAAUCUCGUAAGGAGGAGCUAAUCUCAUAAAGUCAGUCUCAGUUCGGAUUGAGGGCUGCAACUCGCCCUCAUGAAGCCGGAAUCACUAGUAAUCGCGAAUCAGACAUGUCGCGGUGAAUACGUUCUCGGGUCUUGUACACACCGCCCGUCACACCNNNAGAGUUGGUAACACCAGAAGUAGGUAGCCUAACCGUAAGGAGG